RNAcentral lists this ribosomal RNA (433 nucleotides) under Escherichia coli. RNAcentral describes it as "partial 23S ribosomal RNA". It matches the Rfam family "Bacterial large subunit ribosomal RNA", at positions 1 to 473 of the family's 2925-position model. Lineage: Bacteria; Pseudomonadati; Pseudomonadota; Gammaproteobacteria; Enterobacterales; Enterobacteriaceae. The record is from RNAcentral.
GGUUAAGCGACUAAGCGUACACGGUGGAUGCCCUGGCAGUCAGAGGCGAUGAAGGACGUGCUAAUCUGCGAUAAGCGUCGGUAAGGUGAUAUGAACCGUUAUAACCGGCGAUUUCCGAAUGGGGAAACCCAGUGUGAUUCGUCACACUAUCAUUAACUGAAUCCAUAGGUUAAUGAGGCGAACCGGGGGAACUGAAACAUCUAAGUACCCCGAGGAAAAGAAAUCAACCGAGAUUCCCCCAGUAGCGGCGAGCGAACGGGGAGCAGCCCAGAGCCUGAAUCAGUGUGUGUGUUAGUGGAAGCGUCUGGAAAGGCGCGCGAUACAGGGUGACAGCCCCGUACACAAAAAUGCACAUACUGUGAGCUCGAUGAGUAGGGCGGGACACGUGGUAUCCUGUCUGAAUAUGGGGGGACCAUCCUCCAAGGCUAAAUAC